AGAUCGAAAUGGUGGUUGGGAGGGUCGCAUGCACCA
This 36-nucleotide small RNA is filed under the name Arabidopsis thaliana (thale cress). RNAcentral describes it as "ATSL153550". The record is from RNAcentral. Lineage: Eukaryota; Viridiplantae; Streptophyta; Magnoliopsida; Brassicales; Brassicaceae.